AUUGAACGCUGGCGGCAGGCUUAACACAUGCAAGUCGAGCGGGGUGAUGGUGCUUGCACUAUCACUUAGCGGCGGACGGGUGAGUAAUGCUUAGGAAUCUGCCUAUUAGUGGGGGACAACAUCUCGAAAGGGAUGCUAAUACCGCAUACGUCCUACGGGAGAAAGCAGGGGAUCACUUGUGACCUUGCGCUAAUAGAUGAGCCUAAGUCGGAUUAGCUAGUUGGUGGGGUAAAGGCCUACCAAGGCGACGAUCUGUAGCGGGUCUGAGAGGACGAGCCGCCACACUGGGACGGAGACACGGCCCAGACUCCUACGGGAGGCAGCAGUGGGGAAUAUUGGACAAUGGGGGGAACCCUGAUCCAGCCAGGCCGCGUGUGUGAAGAAGGCCUUAUGGUUGUAAAGCACUUUAAGCGAGGAGGAGGCUCUCUUGGUUAAUACCCAAGAUGAGUGGACGUUACUCGCAGAAUAAGCACCGGCUAACUCUGUGCCAGCCGCCGCUGUAA
This 503-nucleotide ribosomal RNA is filed under the name uncultured bacterium. RNAcentral describes it as "partial 16S ribosomal RNA". It matches the Rfam family "Bacterial small subunit ribosomal RNA", at positions 30 to 523 of the family's 1533-position model. The record is from RNAcentral.